GAUGAACGCUGGCGGCGUGCCUAAUACAUGCAAGUCGAGCGAACGGACGAGAAGCUUGCUUCUCUGAUGUUAGCGGCGGACGGGUGAGUAACACGUGGAUAACCUACCUAUAAGACUGGGAUAACUUCGGGAAACCGGAGCUAAUACCGGAUGAUAUUUUGAACCGCAUGGUUCAAAAGUGAAAGACGGUAUUGCUGUCACUUAUAGAUGGAUCCGCGCUGCAUUAGCUAGUUGGUAAGGUAACGGCUUACCAAGGCAACGAUGCAUAGCCGACCUGAGAGGGUGAUCGGCCACACUGGAACUGAGACACGGUCCAGACUCCUACGGGAGGCAGCAGUAGGGAAUCUUCCGCAAUGGGCGAAAGCCUGACGGAGCAACGCCGCGUGUGUGAUGAAGGUCUUCGGAUCGUAAAACUCUGUUAUUAGGGAAGAACAUAUGUGUAAGUAACUGUGCACAUCUUGACGGUACCUAAUCAGAAAGCCACGGCUAACUACGUG
This 497-nucleotide ribosomal RNA is filed under the name uncultured bacterium. RNAcentral's name for it is "partial 16S ribosomal RNA". It matches the Rfam family "Bacterial small subunit ribosomal RNA", at positions 28 to 507 of the family's 1533-position model. The record is from RNAcentral.